Molecule: ribosomal RNA, 253 nt
Filed under: uncultured bacterium
Lineage: Bacteria
Description: partial 16S ribosomal RNA
Rfam family: Bacterial small subunit ribosomal RNA
Source: RNAcentral
UACGGAGGGUGCGAGCGUUGUCCGGAAUCACUGGGCGUAAAGGGUGCGUAGGCGGGUCUUUAAGUCAGGGGUGAAAUCCUGGAGCUCAACUCCAGAACUGCCUUUGAUACUGGCGAUCUUGAGUCCGGGAGAGGUGAGUGGAACUGCGAGUGUAGAGGUGAAAUUCGUAGAUAUUCGCAAGAACACCUGCGGCGAAGGCGGGUUGCUGGGCCGACACUGACGCUGAGGCGCGAAAGCUAGGGGAGCGAACGGG